This 2894-nucleotide ribosomal RNA is filed under the name Klebsiella pneumoniae. RNAcentral's name for it is "bacterial LSU rRNA". It matches the Rfam family "Bacterial large subunit ribosomal RNA". The record is from RNAcentral. Lineage: Bacteria; Pseudomonadati; Pseudomonadota; Gammaproteobacteria; Enterobacterales; Enterobacteriaceae.
UUAAGCGACUAAGCGUACACGGUGGAUGCCCUGGCAGUCAGAGGCGAUGAAGGACGUGCUAAUCUGCGAAAAGCGUCGGUAAGGUGAUAUGAACCGUUAUAACCGGCGAUGUCCGAAUGGGGAAACCCAGUGUGAUUCGUCACACUAUCGUUAACUGAAUACAUAGGUUAACGAGGCGAACCGGGGGAACUGAAACAUCUAAGUACCCCGAGGAAAAGAAAUCAACCGAGAUUCCCCCAGUAGCGGCGAGCGAACGGGGAGCAGCCCAGAGUCUGAAUCAGCUUGUGUGUUAGUGGAACGGUCUGGAAAGUCCGACGGUACAGGGUGAUAGUCCCGUACACCAAAAUGCACAGGCUGUGAACUCGAAGAGUAGGGCGGGACACGUGGUAUCCUGUCUGAAUAUGGGGGGACCAUCCUCCAAGGCUAAAUACUCCUGACUGACCGAUAGUGAACCAGUACCGUGAGGGAAAGGCGAAAAGAACCCCGGCGAGGGGAGUGAAAAAGAACCUGAAACCGUGUACGUACAAGCAGUGGGAGCACCUUCGGGUGUGACUGCGUACCUUUUGUAUAAUGGGUCAGCGACUUAUAUUCUGUAGCAAGGUUAACCGUAUAGGGGAGCCGCAGGGAAACCGAGUCUUAACUGGGCGUUAAGUUGCAGGGUAUAGACCCGAAACCCGGUGAUUCAGCCAUGGGCAGGUUGAAGGUUGGGUAACACUAACUGGAGGACCGAACCGACUAAUGUUGAAAAAUUAGCGGAUGACUUGUGGCUGGGGGUGAAAGGCCAAUCAAACCGGGAGAUAGCUGGUUCUCCCCGAAAGCUAUUUAGGUAGCGCCUCGUGAACUCAUCUUCGGGGGUAGAGCACUGUUUCGGCUAGGGGGUCAUCCCGACUUACCAACCCGAUGCAAACUACGAAUACCGAAGAAUGUUAUCACGGGAGACACACGGCGGGUGCUAACGUCCGUCGUGAAGAGGGAAACAACCCAGACCGCCAGCUAAGGUCCCAAAGUCAUGGUUAAGUGGGAAACGAUGUGGGAAGGCACAGACAGCCAGGAUGUUGGCUUAGAAGCAGCCAUCAUUUAAAGAAAGCGUAAUAGCUCACUGGUCGAGUCGGCCUGCGCGGAAGAUGUAACGGGGCUAAACCAUGCACCGAAGCUGCGGCAGCGACACUAUGUGUUGUUGGGUAGGGGAGCGUUCUGUAAGCCUGCGAAGGUGACCUGUGAGGGUUGCUGGAGGUAUCAGAAGUGCGAAUGCUGACAUAAGUAACGAUAAAGCGGGUGAAAAGCCCGCUCGCCGGAAGACCAAGGGUUCCUGUCCAACGUUAAUCGGGGCAGGGUGAGUCGACCCCUAAGGCGAGGCCGAAAGGCGUAGUCGAUGGGAAACAGGUUAAUAUUCCUGUACUUGGUGUUACUGCGAAGGGGGGACGGAGAAGGCUAUGUUAGCCGGGCGACGGUUGUCCCGGUUUAAGCAUGUAGGCUGGUUAUCCAGGCAAAUCCGGAUAAUCAAGGCUGAGGUGUGAUGACGAGGCACUACGGUGCUGAAGUAACAAAUGCCCUGCUUCCAGGAAAAGCCUCUAAGCAUCAGGUAACAUCAAAUCGUACCCCAAACCGACACAGGUGGUCAGGUAGAGAAUACCAAGGCGCUUGAGAGAACUCGGGUGAAGGAACUAGGCAAAAUGGUGCCGUAACUUCGGGAGAAGGCACGCUGGUGUGUAGGUGAAGCCCCUGCGGGUGGAGCUGAGACCAGUCGAAGAUACCAGCUGGCUGCAACUGUUUAUUAAAAACACAGCACUGUGCAAACACGAAAGUGGACGUAUACGGUGUGACGCCUGCCCGGUGCCGGAAGGUUAAUUGAUGGGGUUAUCCGUAAGGAGAAGCUCUUGAUCGAAGCCCCGGUAAACGGCGGCCGUAACUAUAACGGUCCUAAGGUAGCGAAAUUCCUUGUCGGGUAAGUUCCGACCUGCACGAAUGGCGUAAUGAUGGCGCUGUCUCCACCCGAGACUCAGUGAAAUUGAACUCGCUGUGAAGAUGCAGUGUACCCGCGGCAAGACGGAAAGACCCCGUGAACCUUUACUAUAGCUUGACACUGAACAUUGAGCCUUGAUGUGUAGGAUAGGUGGGAGGCUUUGAAGCGUGGACGCCAGUCUGCGUGGAGCCAACCUGAAAUACCACCCUUUAAUGUUUGAUGUUCUAACGUUGGCCCCUUACCGGGGUUGCGGACAGUGUCUGGUGGGUAGUUUGACUGGGGCGGUCUCCUCCCAAAGCGUAACGGAGGAGCACGAAGGUUAGCUAAUCCGGUCGGACAUCAGGAGGUUAGUGCAAUGGCAUAAGCUAGCUUGACUGCGAGCGUGACGGCGCGAGCAGGUGCGAAAGCAGGUCAUAGUGAUCCGGUGGUUCUGAAUGGAAGGGCCAUCGCUCAACGGAUAAAAGGUACUCCGGGGAUAACAGGCUGAUACCGCCCAAGAGUUCAUAUCGACGGCGGUGUUUGGCACCUCGAUGUCGGCUCAUCACAUCCUGGGGCUGAAGUAGGUCCCAAGGGUAUGGCUGUUCGCCAUUUAAAGUGGUACGCGAGCUGGGUUUAGAACGUCGUGAGACAGUUCGGUCCCUAUCUGCCGUGGGCGCUGGAGAAUUGAGGGGGGCUGCUCCUAGUACGAGAGGACCGGAGUGGACGCAUCACUGGUGUUCGGGUUGUCAUGCCAAUGGCACUGCCCGGUAGCUAAAUGCGGAAGAGAUAAGUGCUGAAAGCAUCUAAGCACGAAACUUGCCCCGAGAUGAGUUCUCCCUGAGACUUUAAGUCUCCUGAAGGAACGUUGAAGACGACGACGUUGAUAGGCCGGGUGUGUAAGCGCAGCGAUGCGUUGAGCUAACCGGUACUAAUGAACCGUGAGGCUUAACCU